This 253-nucleotide ribosomal RNA is filed under the name uncultured bacterium. RNAcentral describes it as "partial 16S ribosomal RNA". It matches the Rfam family "Bacterial small subunit ribosomal RNA", at positions 524 to 776 of the family's 1533-position model. The record is from RNAcentral.
UACGUAGGUGGCGAGCGUUGUCCGGAAUUACUGGGCGUAAAGGGAGCGUAGGUGGUUUUUUAAGUGGGAUGUGAAAUCCCCGGGCUUAACCCGGGAAUUGCAUUCCAUACUGGAAGACUAGAGUGCAGGAGAGGAAAGUGGAAUUCCAAGUGUAGCGGUGAAAUGCGUAGAGAUUUGGAGGAACACCAGUGGCGAAGGCGACUUUCUGGACUGUAACUGACACUGAGGCUCGAGAGCGUGGGGAGCAAACAGG